UUUCAAUGAUGAAAAAUCUAGGACUUGUUUCUCAAAACAUUCGUAGUGGCCGACUAAGAUCUUUCGCCUUCGCUAGGCUUGAGAGAUAGUAUUGCUUUAAUCCUUCCUUGGAUGUCUGAGAUA
Molecule: small nucleolar RNA, 123 nt
Organism: Camellia sinensis
Lineage: Eukaryota; Viridiplantae; Streptophyta; Magnoliopsida; Ericales; Theaceae
Product: small nucleolar RNA SNORD14
Source: RefSeq, a predicted model, not a curated record